RNAcentral lists this ribosomal RNA (406 nucleotides) under uncultured bacterium. Its description in RNAcentral is "partial 16S ribosomal RNA". It matches the Rfam family "Bacterial small subunit ribosomal RNA", at positions 30 to 526 of the family's 1533-position model. The record is from RNAcentral.
AUUGAACGCUGGCGGCAGGCUUAACACAUGCAAGUCGAGCGAGCGGCGGACGGGUGAGUAGUGUCUUGGAAACUGCCUGAUGGAGGGGGAUAACUACUGGAAACGGUAGCUAAUACCGCAUACCAUCAGAUGUGCCCAGAGGGGAUUAGCUAGUAGGUGGGGUAAUGGCUCACAUAGGCGACGAUCCCUAGCUGGUCUGAGAGGAUGACCAGACACACUGGAACUGAGACACGGCCCAGACGCCUACGGGAGGCAGAAGUGGGGAAUAUUGCACAAUGGGCGAAAGCCUGAUGCAGCAAUGCCGCGUGUGUGAAGAAGGCCUUCGGGUUGUAAAGCACUUUCAGCGAGGAGGCGGUACUCGCAGAAGAAGCACCGGCUAACUCCGUGCCAGCAGCCGCGGUAAUUC